UACGGAGGGUGCAAGCGUUAUCCGGAUUCACUGGGUUUAAAGGGUGCGUAGGUGGGCAGGUAAGUCAGUGGUGAAAUCUCCGGGCUUAACUCGGAAACUGCCGUUGAUACUAUCUGUCUUGAAUAUCGUGGAGGUGAGCGGAAUAUGUCAUGUAGCGGUGAAAUGCUUAGAUAUGACAUAGAACACCAAUUGCGAAGGCAGCUCACUACACGGUCAUUGACUCUGAGGCACGAAAGCGUGGGGAUCAAACAGG
Molecule: ribosomal RNA, 253 nt
Filed under: uncultured bacterium
Lineage: Bacteria
Description: partial 16S ribosomal RNA
Rfam family: Bacterial small subunit ribosomal RNA
Source: RNAcentral